This 484-nucleotide ribosomal RNA is filed under the name uncultured bacterium. RNAcentral's name for it is "partial 16S ribosomal RNA". It matches the Rfam family "Bacterial small subunit ribosomal RNA", at positions 28 to 507 of the family's 1533-position model. The record is from RNAcentral.
GAUGAACGCUGGCGGCGUGCCUAACACAUGCAAGUCGAGCGGACGGACGCUUUCGGGGCUUCGCUAAUGGUGAAGGCGGGAGUGUCACGUGCAUGACCUUCCCCGAACUUUGGGACUACGAUAAGAAACUGGUGCCAAAACUGGAAAUGGGCUCCAGCUGGAAGGUGGGGGUUCGAAAGCUCCGGCGGUUGUGGAUGGACCCGGGUGGUAUCAGCUCGUUGGUGGGGUAAUGGCUUACCAAGGCGGCGAUCCGUAGCCGAUCUGAGUGGGUGACCGGUCACACUGGAACUGAGACACGGUCCUGACUCCGACGGGAGGCAGAAGUUGCGAAUGUUGGAAGAUGGGGGAAAGCUUGAACAAGGGACGCAGCGUGAGUGCAGAAGGUCUGCGGAUGGUAAAACGCUGUUAGGGUGGAAGAACGCUUGUAGCAGUAACGAUGCUUUUUUUGACGGUACCUGCAGAAGAAGCACCGGCUAACUACGUG